AUACGAAGGGGGCUAGCGUUGCUCGGAAUGACUGGGCGUAAAGGGCGCGUAGGCGGUUUAUGCAGUCAGAUGUGAAAUCCCCGGGCUUAACCUGGGAACUGCAUUUGAGACGCAUAGACUAGAGGUCGAGAGAGGGUUGUGGAAUUCCCAGUGUAGAGGUGAAAUUCGUAGAUAUUGGGAAGAACACCGGUGGCGAAGGCGGCAACCUGGCUCGAUACUGACGCUGAGGCGCGAAAGCGUGGGGAGCAAACAGGAUUAGAUACCCUGGUAGUCCACGCUGUAAACGAUGUGUGCUGGAUGUUGGGUAACUUAGUUACUCAGUGUCGAAGCUAACGCGCUAAGCACACCGCCUGGGGAGUACGGCCGCAAGGUUGAA
RNAcentral lists this ribosomal RNA (376 nucleotides) under uncultured bacterium. Its description in RNAcentral is "bacterial SSU rRNA". It matches the Rfam family "Bacterial small subunit ribosomal RNA", at positions 523 to 898 of the family's 1533-position model. The record is from RNAcentral.